UAACUAGGAAUUAGAUACCCUAUUAUACCAGUUUUAGAAAAUUUUACUUGGGUAGUAAUUAGGUAAGAGCUUGAAAUCCAAAGAAUUUGGCGGUAUUUUAAUCUCUUUAGAGGAACCUGUUAUAUAAGCGAUAAACCACGUAAUAUCCUACUUUAUUUUGUUUUAGUUUGUAUACCGCCAUAAUUUGGCUUUGUUUUAAAACAUAUUUCAGGAUAAACAACUAUUUAGAACAUUAGGUCAAGGUGCAGCUUAUAAUAAAGAAUCAAUGGGUUACAAUAUAAUUAAUAUAGUAUGAAAAGGGGAUUGAAUAAAACCCUUGAAGGUGGAUUUAAUAGUAAUUUUAACUUUAAUAAGGUAGAAUGAAUUUGCUCUAAAAUAUGUACACAUCGCCGCUCUAUA
This 399-nucleotide ribosomal RNA is filed under the name Harpilius lutescens. RNAcentral describes it as "partial 12S ribosomal RNA". The record is from RNAcentral. Lineage: Eukaryota; Metazoa; Arthropoda; Malacostraca; Decapoda; Palaemonidae.